CUUCACGUCCAUGUUCCUUGCUCCGUGGUCUCGGCUGGGAGAUCCAGGAGACUAAACUGGAGCUCCCAGAUUCAAGCAUUACUGUUGACAGAAAGAAACUCCCGACCUGCUAGAUAAUCUGGUAUGAAUUCAUGUUCUCUAAAAUAAAAGAAUGACUUUUCGAAC
This 165-nucleotide long non-coding RNA is filed under the name Chinchilla lanigera (long-tailed chinchilla). RNAcentral's name for it is "lncRNA (ENSCLAG00000027026.1)". The record is from RNAcentral. Lineage: Eukaryota; Metazoa; Chordata; Mammalia; Rodentia; Chinchillidae.